RNAcentral lists this long non-coding RNA (2027 nucleotides) under Lactuca sativa (garden lettuce). RNAcentral's name for it is "long non-coding RNA (LSAT_LNC001671)". Lineage: Eukaryota; Viridiplantae; Streptophyta; Magnoliopsida; Asterales; Asteraceae. The record is from RNAcentral.
GUAAAUCAAUAAAAAAAAUGAUUCCCUGAACCUCGAUCAAUCCAUCCCAGAUUGACCUUUCUCCUCCCCAAAAAAUCGAGCUCAUCUCCCCCUCCUCCCAUCUUCCGGUCUCCCUCACGGCGUCACCCUCUUCCCUCUUAACCUUCUUCCCUCUUAGCCCUCUACCGGCUACCACCACCGGUAAGCUACAUUGCCGUCCUUCACGCCCUGAAAAUUCCUAACCAUGUUCUUCACGACAGAAAAAUCUUCAUCCACACAUCCCCCCUCCUCUUAUCACCGAUGGCCAUCAAUUGAAGUGUCAAUCCUUAAUUUCAAGUAUGUGGGAGCAUCAAGCCUCAAUUUCAAGUAUAAGUAGGUAUUGAAUUCAUGUCUAAUUUUGUAUGUGUUAUUCUCUUAUAAAUUAGGGAUUCGCUGUGAAUAAGCUAAUGUGCAUAGAUUAGAUUGCUUAUUAUUGAAUACGCCGACACAUCGAUUUAUGAUUUUGAUAAGCCGAUAUUUGGAAUGUCGAAAGCGACUUUGAAUUCUUCUAAUUCACUGAACCAUAUUACACACCGGUGUUCAAUUUUUUAUUCGGAGUAUUAUAAUUGGGUAUAUAAUACUCCAUUUGAAAUCAUCUUCUACAACGUUUGUUUGUGUAGUCCGUACCACUAUUUCAAUUUGUGAUUUCUACAAAGUCUAUACGUACGACUCUAGCACUAACAUGUACAUAUACCUACAAAUACAUACUAAAUUCCAUCAUCCAAAUCUGUUCUACAUUCCUAUUCUUCUCCUUUGUCAUUCUUCUUAUUCUUCUUCAGUUUCUGUUCUAUUUUUAUUUCACAUGAUUAAAAUUUAGAAGAAAUCUUGUUGGCCAAAUCUUUGACUUUUUCUAUGUUUUUCGUCUUGAUGUUGACUUACAGAAGCAAAAAAACAAGCGAUGGAUGCAAGUGAGAGAUUGGAUGGCCAAUUUAGUCCCCAUUUUCAUUCAAAGUACACAUGGUUCAUAUAUUCUUUUCCAUCUUCAAUUUGAUGUAGUUACAAUAUAGAUGUUUAUUAUUAGAUUACUUGAAUAAUUAUGCAAAAUCUUCAGAAAAUUAUAUUGAUUUUUUGUCAAAUAUCUUAUAAAAAGGUCGUGUGGACCCAAAUCAAUACUAUCAGUUUCCAUAAAACUAUUUUUGGAAGGGAAUAUAUGUUUUCUGCUAGUAAGUUAACGAGUAUCUACACCUCCCAUGAAUGCAAAUAUGAUUAUGCAUCAAAGCAUGGAGCCAAAGAUGGUCUUUUUAUCCUUAUACUUGUAUGGUUGGUCCAUAUUGUAACAAAAAGUAAGAAAUUAAAAAUACACUUGUAAUACUGUUUUAUUGUUACAAUGAUAUGGCUUAUCGAUAGUGCAGAUACUAAUAUUUUUUUUUCUUAUGUUUAGUGAGACUAAAUUAAUCAUUAUACGGUGUUAAGAGUUUUGGAUAAAUAUAUUUGUCGACGAAGGAACGGUGGACACCUUGUAUUGUUUUGGGUCGUGAGAACAUCAAAUAUCCAAAUGCAAAUUGGAAAUCAAAGAGCUCUGGUAACAAGGUGGAAAAUGAGGCUGACUUAUCACUAAGAUCUCAUCUACAUGAAAUUCUGGUAGAAAGAGAGCUAAUGAAGCCGACCCCAAAAUUAAAGUAAAAAAAUUAGUAGGGUGUUAUUUCUUUAGGAAUUAGGAAGUUGUCUCAUAAGUGGAGUGUUAUUUUGGUGGUGGUGUUGCUGUCUUGUCAAAGUAAAGUGUUAUUUUAGAAUUUAAUUUUGUUUAUAUUGUAACUUUCCCAGCAUCAUGCUGGUUUUUCUAUUUAAUGCAUUUGGUAACAUGUUGGAUAUGUUGCUUUUGCAAAAAUACAUUACAUAACUGUUCGUAUGGCAUAAUAUCGUUACAAAAUGCUCCUUAUGGAAGAAAUACAUUACAGAAACAAUCCCUAUGGCUGAAAAUACAUUAUAGAAACAGUCACUAUUGCAGAAAUAGUCCCUAUGACAUAAUAUCCGUGCAAAAUGGUCCUUGUGGUAGAAUUACAUUACAG